GUGUCAGCCGCCGCGGUAAUACGUAGGGUGCAAGCGUUGUCCGGAAUUAUUGGGCGUAAAGAGCUCGUAGGCGGUUUGUCACGUCGGAUGUGAAACCCCGGGGCUCAACCCCGGGCCUGCAUUCGAUACGGGCAGACUAGAGUUCGGCAGGGGAGACUGGAAUUCCUGGUGUAGCGGUGAAAUGCGCAGAUAUCAGGAGGAACACCGGUGGCGAAGGCGGGUCUCUGGGCCGAUACUGACGCUGAGGAGCGAAAGCGUGGGGAGCAAACAGGAUUAGAAACCCUGGUAGUCC
Molecule: ribosomal RNA, 292 nt
Filed under: uncultured bacterium
Lineage: Bacteria
Description: partial 16S ribosomal RNA
Rfam family: Bacterial small subunit ribosomal RNA
Source: RNAcentral